Molecule: long non-coding RNA, 6645 nt
Filed under: Haliotis rufescens (red abalone)
Lineage: Eukaryota; Metazoa; Mollusca; Gastropoda; Lepetellida; Haliotidae
Description: uncharacterized LOC124120145
Source: RNAcentral
UACCGUAUUGAUGUUUCAUACACUUUUCUGGAUUUCAAGUUAUUUUGCAAUUCAUCGUUCUCAUUUGGAGUCAAACGGACUGUAAUUAAUUCACUUUCUGGGUUAGAAGAAUAUGUAGUUGGCCUGUCUCAUGCUAAGUUUACAAUUCUCAGCUGCUUUCCUUCAAAUUGGCAAAACACUGACAUAACUUAUGUAAGUAUACAUAAAUCAAUACUGGCAGACAUCUUUAACUGAAAUAUAGGAUUGUGUCGGGUCUGUUGACAGGUGAGUAGUAGAGAUGCUGUUGUGACUGUGUGUCACUUUUACUUUUAUAUUUGCUCGCUUUUUUCCUGCCAAAUCUGGUCACAAAUAUUCCUGUAACCAUGGUAACAAUUCUGGCAGUUUUAUGCUGUUCACACUUUUCAUUUCAUUUUCUAUUUCAGAAUUGAACUUUGUUGUUUCCAUUUUUAUUUUUGAAAGCUCAUGAAUUUUUUGAAUUUUUUUUUAAGUUAAAUAGUUAUUUGUUUUUCAAUGAAACUGUAACAAGUCAUAUACACAAAUGUGUGGAAACAGACCUCAUGUCUUGACCGUGGUGAUUGAUUGUUUUGCAUAUUCUGUAAAGUUGAAAUAUGUUGCUGUCUGUCUUAAUGGACUUAACAUGCUUAAUUCACAGGUCUGCUGGGUAUGGUGUUAUUUUCAACAAUGUGUCCUUAACUUGAAUUGCAAGCACAAUAUAGAUUUGGUUUUCAACGAAAAGCUAAGCUACUUGAAUACAUGGUAGAGGCUAUGUUCGAGGUAAAACCUGGAUGUUGCGUUGAUCAGUGAUUUUACCUGACAUUCAAGACUAGAAAGUUCAGAUUUGUAACUUGAAUUGUAUUUUUGCAUUGCCUAUUUGUUUCGUGAUCAGGCUAGUGACCAAUUAUUGACGAAGACCAAUUAUAUUGCAACUUGCUUUUCUUCAGCUCAUUUUCUUAUUUGAAGGGAGUGGUUUAUCUCAAAUAUUAUCUCGUUUCAGUCAUUUGGAAAUAUUAUAAAUACACCAGAAAACUCAAAAUAAUUUCAAAUGGUACAUGCAGUCGUGUCACAUAAACAAAACUCCAACUAGGUCUGUCUGAAAAAAUAUGAUUUUACAACUGAGUUAGCCUUUUUCUUGAAACAUACAUAACCUGAAGAUAUUACAAACUUUACAGUAAAUAGUGUUAUUUGUAAACAUGUUAAGAAUGUAAUUUGAGGAAUAUUGGUUUAUGUCCAUUGGCAGUCGAUGCAUUGAUUAAAAAAUAUAUCAUACCAGAAAUUAUAAGAAAUGUAAUUUGUAUACCUGUGGAGAUGCGAGGGAUGAUGUUGCAUAAGACAAUAGGGAUGACUGGAAUGGUAAGUCACAGGGAAAGUUCUAUUUCCACUGUCUUGAAUCCCCAUCUCAGUGGAAUAACAGAAACUGACUCAACCUUUUUCCAUGGACUUCAAACAGAGCAUUUGCUCAUUGUUUCAACAGUCAGAGUAAGUGGUACAGUAAACUUUCAUUUCCAAAUAUUUCAGAAAUAACGCUUUAAAAAAUUGUCACAACUGGUCAGUGGCCAGUACACAUUUACUUUAUAUAAUUAUCUAAAUGUAUCCACCAGUACUCAUUGUCCUGUAUCACUGAACAUGACAUCAAUAUAAUGUGUGCACACAGAAUUCCCAAAACUUCACAUAAUGAUAUCUCAUUUCCUACCGAGGGACACACACUACAAUGGUGCCUUGCAAACAAGAGAUGCUUUCAGUGUCUAGAGUUUAUUUAUGCUACAAACACCUUAUGAUGUGUGUCUUUAACCAUGAAUCUAUUUUUGGCCAAUACCUGUGCUGGGAUUUCCCUUUGUUUAGCAUACUUGUUUUUGCUCCAUGUGGUGUUCUAUGUCGUUUUUGUCUGUCCCAAAUUAGCCACGAUUGUUGUCCUUCGUUGGUCAUGCCCCACCUGUGUUUGUUGGUUUCACCAGAGUGAUAUACGUCUAUGAUCUGCAUCACAUUAGGCGUUAACUACAACAAUCAGCUGACGUGCCAGGAUAAGACUAAAUACUGUGAAAGUUAUGAGGAUAAGACUAAAUACUGUAAAAGUUAACAGAAUAAGACUAAAUACUGUAAAAGUUAUCUGGAUAAGAAUAAAUCCUGACAGGAUAAGACAUAAUGUUGUUAAGAGUUGUCAGGAUAAGAUUAAAUACAGCUAAAAGUUGCCAAGAUAAGAUUUUAUACUUUUAUAAGUUGCCCAUAAAAGGCCCUUUACUGUUAAAUGUUUCUUGGAUAAGACUUUAUACAAGUAAAGGUUGCCAUGAUAAGACUCUUUACUUUUGAAGUUGCAUUAAACCUAAUGCUCUGAUGAUCAAAUUAAUUUAGUUAUUUCAUCAGUUUGUAUCACUAGGCAUCUCUGUUGUGGAGUGAGAUUAUGUGAAACUUCCUUUUCCCUUUCUAACUCUCGCAUAUAUUGCAGUUCAUGAUGACCUGUUUGUUUCUAUAAAUUCCCUGUUCAUUGGUAGCACAAUGGAAUGUCAAAAUAGUCAAGUUUGCAUUUUGGCAUGAUAGCUAUGUUUGUGUCAGAGCAGUGAUGUUUUAUGCUUAGACAUAACAGCUUUGUUCAUGUCUCAACAGCAGUAUUAUGUCUAGACAUAACAGCUAUGUAGUGUCAUAACAGCAUUGUUGGGUCUAGACAUAACAGCUUUGUUCGUGUCACAACAGCAGUAUUAUGUCUAGACAUAACAGCUAUGUAGUGUAAUAACAGCAUUGUUGUGCCUAGACAUAACAGCUUUGUUCGUUUCCCAACAGCAGUAUUAUGUCUAGACAUAACAGCUAUGUAGUGUCAUAACAGCAUUGUUGUGCCUAGACAUAACAGCUUUGUUCGUGUCACAACAGCAGUAUUAUGUCUAGACAUAACAGCUAUGUAGUGUCGUAACAGCAUUGUUGUGCCUAGACAUAACAGCAAUGUUCAUGUCACAACAGCAGUGUUAUGUCUAGACAUAGCAGUAUUGCAUCCAGACAUUACAGCGGUGUAUGUGUCUUGACAAGACAGGUAUGUUUGCGUCACAACAGCUAUGUUUGUGUCUUGACACAGCAUCUAUUUAUGAUACUUCUUUCGACAUGAACCUUUUCAUCAGCUGUUGCGCUGGCAUCCUCAGGUAUUGUCUAGUCAUAACCACACACCUCCAGUCCCCCCUGCCCUUCAGAUGAUUGCAAGGAAUAUGUCAUGGUUAACUCUUCCUCUCUUCACCCCACCCAACAAACAAAACAUUCAAGAUAUCAUCAUACUCUAGUUGUAAAAGUCCCAGUGAUCUUAUGCACCACUGCCCCUUCUGCAAAGUUACAUCCCUUACACAGCAGCCAGGAUCUGCCGUUCCUGGGUUUGAAUCCUGGGAUCCGCAGGAUUGUGAUCCUAGAUCCUUUGACCUUGUCGUGGCCCCUGUCAGAUAGCUUGAACUACAUCUCUGUUAUGUGUAUUGAAGAUAAUCAUGUUUUGUCACCUAUAUGAACCUGAUGUUAACCCUUACUAUGCUAAUUAAAUGACACAAUAAGUAUCAUUACAUAGUGCUCAUUGUUUUUAUUUGUUUGUAAUGUUUAUAUAAAUGACAUGUAUUUUAUUUAAUGAACAUUUUCAAUAUUUGUAUACUUUGGGGGUAUAACAUGAUUAUAUCGUAAGCCUUUUUCAUUCAUAAUGUUCAGUUUUGAGGCAGUCAGUCCCGCCCAUUUGCAGCCAGCUCACCUGCAUCAAUAUGUUAUCCUCAUUGUUUAUGUCUUCUUACUUGGUUAGGGGGGCAAGGGUGGCCCAGUCGUCUAAGGUGCUACGAUUCGCUGUGCAGAGUUGCAUCCCCUGGGCACGCCAGAAACCUAUGAUUGUGGGUUCGAAACCCGGUUCGCCACGAUUAUGUUCCUAGGUGUUUGUCAGCAUCAUACCCGUGCUCGUGGGUUUCGCGGAAGUGGUAAACGUCUGAGACCUGCAUCACUUCUGGCUUUCCUCCCACAUUAAGCUGACACGCAGUGAUAUAACUGGUAUAAUCUUAUAAGCGGCGUUAAACCCAACUCACUCACUCAAUCUUACUUGGUCGGGCUAGUGGUUAAAGUGCUCACUCAUCAUGCUGAAGGUUCAAUUCCCAACAUGGGUACAAUGUGUGAAACCCAUUUCUGGUGUCCCAAACCAUGAUAUUGCUGGAAUACUUCAAAGAUUGGCAUUAAACUAAACUCACUCACUCACUCACUCUUACUUCAUUUACAGGUCCACUGACGAUGAAUUCUGAAAUGUGAAAUGAAAUCAACAUUUUGAGAACAUUUUGUAUAUUCUUCAUGACAUUUCAGUAAUGGCAAGAAAGUUCAGUGUGGGAGAGAAUAUAAAAGAAACACGUACUUCUUAUGUUUACCCAAUUACCAAUACUUUUUAAGAAAUAUCUUUAAAAAAUGGUUGCUUUGAAGUUAAAUGUGUUUAAUGGCCACCAAGUCAACAAUUUAAAAAAAAUACAAGAUAACACAUUCAUAGCAAUAGGCCUCAGAAUAAAUAAUACAACUGACUCAUUGAUUUGACUCAUCUUCAAUCCAAAUUUGGAUUUAUCUCCAUUUAUGAAAUUUUAUGUUUAACUCAUUUACGAGGAAUAUUUUUCUCAUGUUAUAUUUCUAAUUUAGCAUGUUAAUAAUUGCUUGUAUUUUUCUCAUCCUCCACAAGCUGAAUGAACAGUAUCUCAUGGUUAUUACGUUAUCAUUUCUCCACAGGUUAACCUGACUGUCUUUCUUGUGCCUGUCUGAAUGUCUGAAAAUUAGAAAUAAAUAAAUGUAACUGCAUUUGUUUUGGGGUUUAUUUUAAAAAACUAUUUGGUUCAUUUUUGUUGUUGAUGUUUGUUUGUUUAUAUUUUGCAUUUAAUUUUGUUUCAAGAGCAAUUGUUUAGGAAAUAUUAAGUUAGCCAUAUAUGUAACAGGUGUUUCAGUCUAAAGUUUGGAAACAAGAAAAAUUGAUUUGACAUGUAAUAGAAGUUGUGAUGGUCCGAAAUGUCUGUUAGAGUUACCUCCCCUUAAUUGCCAGUUGAGAUCCCAGUCUGAAAAGGCAAUUUGAUACAGUGUUAUCACUUUCUGUGUUGUAACUGUGCUUUGUAAGUUGUCUGCAUUUGUCUCAACAGGUAAUAUGUAUUCAGGAAAAUGUGAAGCCAGUAAUACAAAGAGUAACUGUAUUCAUACAUUGGAUUAGUUGGAUUAGUAACCUGUAUUCCUUAUUUUGUAAUCACCCAUUAUUCUCACAUUAUUAUUUUUUGUUGUGAUUUAUUUGUUUGUUACUUAUAUUUAUUUCUCAUAAUCAUUGAUGUAUUGCCUGUAUUGAAGGUGUUGUGAUUCAGUCAACCUAUAACCACAUGUGACUUCUGACCACAGCUAUAUACAGUUUGUAUGUAGAGAAAUGCAUAUUCAAGCUAAGUAAUCGCUUUAUUUUGUGUCGUGUAUCAUAGUGUAUAGAGAUACUGAUACUUUUGUUGGGCCUUGAAAAAAGUAAACACUGAUUGGAAUAUUUUCAAAAUGACAUGGUCAGCAGGAUUUUUGUUACUUUGUUAUGCUCUUUUUGGUAGACAGACAACUAAAGACCUAUCAUGGUGGCAAAGUCAGGUCAUUGAAGGGCUUUUCGCUUUGUAAUCCUGGACAGUUUUGACAUCGAUUGUAUACAGACAAAACCAACCACUAAACAUUUUUCUCAUGACAUGUUUUAAAAUGAUGAAAACAUUUUUUGAAUAUUUCAUGUCUUUAUAUUGUCAAUACACAGACAAAAUUGUAACGUUAGUAAAAAAUGUUUUUAGUUAUUCAUUCACAAUUUGGCUUUAGCUCAUGCACAGCAUAAAUUAUUAUCACAUUUUUUAUAGAUCAUUUUCACAUAAUAUUACUAAGCAAAACAUGCCAUAUUUGCCUUGCUCGAGAAAAUCAGUUCCAAUUCAAAUAUAUGAGGAUAUGAUUAUUCUGAAUGCAACGUACUGUCUGUGUUGGAAGAUGUAGAAGUUUGUACUGAUACAGUGAUGUCAUUAAUCAUGUGUAAGGAUGUACAGUGAUGAAGCAUCUUGGUUGUCUUUCUGUUCAUCCGUUUCAUGAGGGACAGUAUCAAACCAUUCUUUGAGACUUAAGAUUAGAAAUUUAUCAUGGCUGGUAUUUACCGGGUAAUAUAUCAUUUCUAUUAGACCAAUAAUUUAACGGAUUCAUAGGUACAAUGUAUGAGGUAUGUAUUCAUAGGUACAAAGUUUCAAAGUGUUCGUGUCCAUGAAAGAAUUUAUGUUCGAGCUGGUUGGCUUUGACUUCAACUGGUCCAACUGUGGCCAUAGGCACCAUGGUGGGGCUGGGAAUUUAAAAAAAAUAUUAUAUAGCCUUAAAUUUUUCAAAAUAAUAAUGUGUUGUGGGUCCAAAAGAAAUCUUUUGCUCCUCAUUUUAUAUUUGUUUUAAAGCAUUUACUAAUAGAAUAGAAAGACAUCCCAGGCCCCCCUAAAGCUAUUACAUGAUCAGUGCCUAUGUUGUUGUACUUACCUUGCCAUGAUGAUAUUCAGGUACUAGAGGGCAUUCACUCGCAAUAUUUGAUCAUGUAACUCUCAUUAAUGAACUGUUUUAAAUAUUUGAAGGAUACAGGAUAUGAUAUGAUGAUCCUUGAAAUUAUUUUAUUGCUUCAGUGAAAUAAAACUAACAGUCGUGCAUUAA